UACGGAGGAUGCGAGCGUUAUCCGGAUUUAUUGGGUUUAAAGGGUGCGUAGGCGGACGCUUAAGUCAGCGGUAAAAUUGCGGGGCUCAACCUCGUCGAGCCGUUGAAACUGGGUGCCUUGAGUGGGCGAGAAGUACGCGGAAUGCGUGGUGUAGCGGUGAAAUGCAUAGAUAUCACGCAGAACUCCGAUUGCGAAGGCAGCGUACCGGCGCCCAACUGACGUUGAGGCCCGAAAGCGUGGGGAGCAAACAGG
RNAcentral lists this ribosomal RNA (252 nucleotides) under uncultured bacterium. RNAcentral's name for it is "partial 16S ribosomal RNA". It matches the Rfam family "Bacterial small subunit ribosomal RNA", at positions 524 to 776 of the family's 1533-position model. The record is from RNAcentral.